GAUGAACGCUGGCGGCGUGCCUAAUACAUGCAAGUCGAGCGAACAGACGAGGAGCUUGCUCCUCUGACGUUAGCGGCGGACGGGUGAGUAACACGUGGAUAACCUACCUAUAAGACUGGGAUAACUUCGGGAAACCGGAGCUAAUACCGGAUAACAUGUUGAACCGCAUGGUUCAACAGUGAAAGACGGUCUUUCUGUCACUUAUAGAUUGAUCCGCGCCGCAUUAGCUAGUUGGUAAGGUAAAGGCUUACCAAGGCAACGAUGCGUAGCCGACCUGAGAGGGUGAGCGGCCAGACUGGAAGUGAGACACGGUCCAGACUCUGACGGGAGGCAGCAGUAGGGAAUCUUCCGCAAUGGGCGAAAGCCUGACGGAGCAAAGCCGCGGGAGUGAAGAAGGUCUUCGGCUCGUAAAACUCUGUUAUUAGGGAAGAACAAAUGUGUAAGUAACUAUGCACGUCUUGACGGUACCUAAUCAGAAAGCCACGGCUAACUACGUG
RNAcentral lists this ribosomal RNA (497 nucleotides) under uncultured bacterium. Its description in RNAcentral is "partial 16S ribosomal RNA". It matches the Rfam family "Bacterial small subunit ribosomal RNA", at positions 28 to 507 of the family's 1533-position model. The record is from RNAcentral.